This 467-nucleotide ribosomal RNA is filed under the name uncultured eubacterium WJGRT-31. RNAcentral describes it as "bacterial SSU rRNA". It matches the Rfam family "Bacterial small subunit ribosomal RNA", at positions 45 to 506 of the family's 1533-position model. The record is from RNAcentral.
UGCUUACACAUGCAAGUCGAACGGUAACGCGGGGCAACCUGGCGACGAGUGGCGAACGGGUGAGUAAUGUAUCGGAACGUGCCCAGUUGUGGGGGAUAACUACUCGAAAGAGUGGCUAAUACCGCAUACGACCUGAGGGUGAAAGCGGGGGAUCGCAAGACCUCGCGCAAUUGGAGCGGCCGAUAUCAGAUUAGCUAGUUGGCGGGGUAAAAGCCCACCAAGGCGACGAUCUGUAGCUGGUCUGAGAGGACGACCAGCCACACUGGGACUGAGACACGGCCCAGACUCCUACGGGAGGCAGCAGUGGGGGAAUUUUGGGACAAUGGGACGCAAGUCUGAUCCAGCCAUGCCGCGUGCGGGAAGAAGGCCUUCGGGGUGUAAACCGCUUUUGUCAGGGGAGAAACGCUCUGGGAUAAUACCCUGGGGGUAAUGACGGUACCUGRAGAAUAAGCACCGGCUAACUACGU